UCGGGAAUUUUGGGCAAUGGGCGAAAGCCUGAUGGAGCGACGUCGCGUGAUGGACGAAGUGCUUCGGCACGUAAACAUCUUUUAUGUGGGAUGAAAUUAUUGACAGUACCACAUGAAUAAGGGGCUCCUAACUCUGUGCCAGCAGGAGCGGUAAUACAGAGGCCCCAAGCGUUAUCCGGAAUCACUGGGCGUAAAGGGUGUCGAGGCGGUUGUAUUAGUCGUUCGUAAAAUCUACGAGCUUAACUUGUAGGCGGCGAACGAAACGGUACGACUUGAGGUUUGGAGAGGUGCGUGGAACUCACGGUGUAGGGGUGAAAUCCGUUGAUAUCGUGGGGAACACCAAAGGCGAAGGCAGCGCACUGGCCAAAAUCUGACGCUCACACACGAAAGCUAGGGUAGCGAAGAGGAUUAGAUACCCCCGUAGUCCCUG
This 430-nucleotide ribosomal RNA is filed under the name uncultured bacterium. RNAcentral describes it as "bacterial SSU rRNA". It matches the Rfam family "Bacterial small subunit ribosomal RNA", at positions 355 to 799 of the family's 1533-position model. The record is from RNAcentral.